AUUGAACGCUGGCGGCAGGCUUAACACAUGCAAGUCGAGCGGGGUGAUGGUGCUUGCACUAUCACUUAGCGGCGGACGGGUGAGUAAUGCUUAGGAAUCUGCCUAUUAGUGGGGGACAACAUCUCGAAAGGGAUGCUAAUACCGCAUACGUCCUACGGGAGAAAGCAGGGGAUCACUUGUGACCUUGCGCUAAUAGAUGAGCCUAAGUCGGAUUAGCUAGUUGGUGGGGUAAAGGCCUCCCAAGGCGACGAUCUGUAGCGGGUCUGAGAGGAUGAUCCGCCACACUGGGACUGAGACACGGCCCAGACUCCUACGGGAGGCAGCAGUGGGGAAUAUUGGACAAUGGGGGGAACCCUGAUCCAGCCAUGCCGCGUGCGUGAAGAAGGCCUUAUGGUUGUAAAGCACUUUAAGCGAGGAGGAGGCUCUUUUGGUUAAUACCCAGAAUGAGUGGACGUUACUCGCAGAAUAAGCACCGGCUAACUCUGUGCCAGCCGCCGCAGUAA
RNAcentral lists this ribosomal RNA (503 nucleotides) under uncultured bacterium. RNAcentral's name for it is "partial 16S ribosomal RNA". It matches the Rfam family "Bacterial small subunit ribosomal RNA", at positions 30 to 523 of the family's 1533-position model. The record is from RNAcentral.